RNA transcript from Cannabis sativa, 1692 nucleotides. RefSeq lists it as uncharacterized. The transcript is spliced from 8 exons. The record is from RefSeq and is a predicted model, not a curated record. Lineage: Eukaryota; Viridiplantae; Streptophyta; Magnoliopsida; Rosales; Cannabaceae.
CCUUCUUUUUUCCAGGAUGUGUUCUUGUGAUGAUUGUCUUGGAUAAUCACUGGAGUAAAUCCGAACUUGGCACAACAACACACCCUGUUUUGGUUCCUAAAAUGCUCAAAUUUCUGUUUUUGUCCUAUAACUAACCUCUCAUUCACUUCACCCGAGUUCUCGCCUUACUCUUCCUCCUCCUCGCUCUCUACUGUGCCACUGACCCAUUUAAGCACAGCGCCAUCUCCGAUUUCCCCGACUUUCAAUCUCACAACAUAAAUAUCUCCUAUUGGUCCGAAAUUCCAACCCAUAGAGACCGCUAGAAUUUGCUCCAAAAGUCAAAGAUUAAGUUUUUGAACCUGGUUCAGGGCCCUGAGAGUGUCACUUUUGAUUCUCUUGGCCGUGGACCUUACACUGGUGUCGCCGAUGGUAGAAUUCUCUUUUGGAAUGGCCACUCUUGGACUGAUUUCGCCUAUAUAUCGCCCAAUAGUUUGUAGAUAAGAUGUUUGUCGUUUUGUCUUGGAAAUUGGGUCCUGACUACUGAUGUCGGAGAAGGAAAGCGAAGUUUAAUUUCUGAGGAUACAGAUAGUGGUGUUGGUUUUGAGAUGCAUUUUAAGGUGUUCUAUUAUUAACAACUUCAAGCUCAGAUUUGGCAGAAGCUUACAUAUUCAUUAUGAAGCAAGUGGUGUUGAAAUUGGUUUCAUGAUGAUAGAACCAAGAAGUAGAUUACAAAGACAGUAUCUGUCCAUUCAGAAUUCAUUUAUUUUCAGGGAUUGAUUAAAUUCCAUAGAUUCCAAAGACAUGAAAUUGACAAUAACAGGGGACAUAAAUCUGUAAGUUAGUAAGCAAGUUGAGGAAGCAAUUUGUAAUGUAUUUUGAUCAGCAAUCUUUUCUUUUGUCUUCAAUUUCGAUUUUGAUUUUUUGGUAUGAUUCUUUUGGAUCUAGUUUCGCAUUAGGAGAUUCUUCGUUUGCCAAAGGUAAAUUACUGAAUUAGUUUAACUCUGUUUGCUCUGGAAUCAAUUUCUAUGCUUGUUUGUUCUGUCAUGUUUCUCUCUAAAGGUUUCUAUUGGGUUUGUAAUCCUCUAAAAUGUGGACCUAAAUUGAGAUAGUUCAGAUUCUAGAGAUGCCAAAUUCAAAGAAUGUGGAUCUUUGAAAUUCAUUGAGGUCUGAUUUACUUCAUCUCCAACAGUUUUUAAAGAACGAGCAAAGUGAUGCUCCUCAAAAGUAGGUGAGAACCAAACAUGAUAUAAGUGUUUGCUUCUCUAUUCUAGGUGUCUGGUUUAGAAUCACUUAUAUACUUGUUUGUUUGUACCACCACAUCAACACAUUGGAUGGAUUUACUUCAUCUCCAACAGUUUUUAAAGAGCAAGCAACAUGAGUCUCCUCAAGAGACUAUUCAAGCAUUGGAUGUUGUUCUCAGGGAUGCUCCAUCGAAAGUGGGUGAAGGAGAUUGCUUUGAUGUUGGUAGAAGUGGAGAAUUUGAGGUCUUUCUAAUAAUACUUUAUUGUCUUUCCCCAAUUCAGGCAUUUUGUUGACGGGAUGUAAUUGCAUGAAAUAUUUUUUGGCUAAUUCUUGCUCUUAAUAUUAUCAUACUACCCUGAAAAGUUCAUUCCUUUAUGAUUGAAAAAAUAAUUACUCAGCAUAUCAUCCUUGUUCUUGAUAUUAAGAUUUGUAUCUUUAUUAUAGCAAUGAAAAAAUAGUGUUGUGUUCUCA